GCCUUAGUUGUGUAAUGGUCAGCACACUCGACGCGUAUUCGAGAGGUCCGAGGUUCGAGUCCCGGCAAGGGCA
Molecule: transfer RNA, 73 nt
Filed under: Stegodyphus mimosarum
Lineage: Eukaryota; Metazoa; Arthropoda; Arachnida; Araneae; Eresidae
Rfam family: tRNA
About the family: Transfer RNA (tRNA) molecules are approximately 80 nucleotides in length.
Source: Rfam by way of RNAcentral